RNAcentral lists this ribosomal RNA (253 nucleotides) under uncultured bacterium. RNAcentral's name for it is "partial 16S ribosomal RNA". It matches the Rfam family "Bacterial small subunit ribosomal RNA", at positions 524 to 776 of the family's 1533-position model. The record is from RNAcentral.
AACGUAGGACACGAACGUUAUCCGGAGUUACUGGGCGUAAAGGGCGCGCAGGCGGAAGUGCAAGUUUGGUAUGAAAGGCGCUGGCUAAACUGGCGGGGUGUAUCAAAAACUGCACGACUAGAGCGAAAUAGAGGGAAGUAGAAUUCCGGGUGUAGUGGUGAAAUGCGUAGAUAUCCGGAGGAAUAUCAGAGGCGAAGGCGGCUUCCUGGAUUUCGGCUGACGCUGAGGCGCGAAAGCGUGGGUAGCGAACGGG